AGCAGCCGCGUGAAAACGCCUCUUCAAAUUCCACACGCUGUUUGUGCGUCAUCAGAUACUGAAGAUUGUUUGAAAUGCUCUUCGUUCUUAGGAAGAGUUCUGCGCAUGCGCGAGCCCUUCUCAACCGGCGGCGAGAGCCUGAAUUACGAUCGAGGUGACUGACGCCGUUCUGGAGCAAGCUUUGCACUGUGUCCACAAGAUCUUGGAACCCAAUAUGACAGAAGAGUUCGAGAAGAGCAAGGCUUCCAAGGGCUCCGGAAUGACAGACCUCGAGUACGUCAAGAAGGAGUGGGAGAAGCCCUGCACAUCUGAAGACAACAGCAUCCGCCGCCUUUUGGUUCCAACCCAAAAUGAGGACAUGAAACCAAAGUCGAUCUACAUCGUGGAAGCCUGUCUGAAUGGAACGAUCUACAGCUUUCGCAGAGAAGGCAAACUAUGAAGGCUGCUCGGUUUCCCAACGCCUUUCCUACGUAUACUCUCACCGAACGAAAGAGAAUAUUAAAACAAAAUUGCAACACCUGCGCACAUAUACAGGACAAGGCUAAAGGGCAUAGUGAACAAGAACAAUA
Long non-coding RNA from Ixodes scapularis (black-legged tick), 569 nucleotides. RefSeq lists it as uncharacterized. The record is from RefSeq and is a predicted model, not a curated record. The transcript has 6 exons. NCBI's taxonomy places the organism in Eukaryota, Metazoa, Arthropoda, Arachnida, Ixodida, Ixodidae.